This 500-nucleotide ribosomal RNA is filed under the name uncultured Glomeromycotina. RNAcentral's name for it is "partial small subunit ribosomal RNA". It matches the Rfam family "Eukaryotic small subunit ribosomal RNA", at positions 591 to 1092 of the family's 1831-position model. The record is from RNAcentral. Lineage: Eukaryota; Fungi; Glomeromycota.
CCAAUAGCGUAUAUUAAAGUUGUUGCAGUUAAAAAGCUCGUAGUUGAAUUUCGGGGUCAGCAGGUUGGUUGUGCCACUGGUAUGCACUGGCCUCGCUGAUUCCUCCCUCUUGUAGAACCGUAAUGCCAUUAAGUUGGUGUUGCGGGGAAACAGGACUGUUACUUUGAAAAAAUUAGAGUGUUUAAAGCAGGCUAACGCUUGAAUACAUUAGCAUGGAAUAAUGAAAUAGGACGAUCGAUCCUAUUUUGUUGGUUUCUAGGGUUGACGUAAUGAUUAAUAGGGAUAGUUGGGGGCAUUAGUAUUCAAUUGUCAGAGGUGAAAUUCUUGGAUUUAUUGAAGACUAACUACUGCGAAAGCAUUUGCCAAGGAUGUUUUCAUUAAUCAAGAACGAAAGUUAGGGGAUCGAAGACGAUCAGAUACCGUCGUAGUCUUAACCAUAAACUAUGCCGACUAGGGAUCGGAUGAUGUUAAUUUUUUAAUGACUCAUUCGGCGCCUUACG